GUAUUUUUUUUUUCUCGUUUAAAAAAUUCCUCUUCCUCACUUAUUUCCUUCAUUGUACUCUGCAAGGUAACUGUACAUUACACGACUCGAAAAGACACGACAAGACGGUACAACCUACACCGCCACUCUGUCCACCGUGCGUGUUAAAAUUCUGAAAUUGUGUUUUGCUCGACGGGUUGCGUGUUCCUACUCUUGUACUCUUGUUCAGAGAGGUGCUAAUUUGCUUGGAAGUUGUUGGAUUGUUGGCCUGAUUAAGGGCAUCCUGCAAGGUUUAGCAAAUUUAUGCCUGAUAUUUGCGUUCAAUUUUGCAAGUCUGUAAAUGGGAGAUCCGCUUGUGAAAUCACAGAAAAAUCAGAAUGAAGAAGAUUACAAGCACUUUAUUUUGCUGACGAAGGAUGGAAAACUUAUAAGUCGGACACAAUGCUUAAACCCUCCUCUAAAAGUGCCUCGAAAAUGGAAUUUACAUGAAAUUGUUCGAAGGUCUGAGUUAAAUAUCCAUCAUGAUUUACCUCAUUGCUUUUUACGCCCUGCUGCCGAGUGUCCUCGUGACAAGAAAGAGUGGUGUAAAUUUCUAUCCUAUAUUCAGCAAAGAAACUCGGUUGCAAUUGCAAAAUUUGAGUUCUGUGAGUUCUUUAUACUUCCUCCUGAAGAAGGCUCUAAUUUUAGUCACGUUAGAGUUGCAUACCGUGAUGGGAAAGCUUCCGACAAAUAUAUUGGUCAAAAGAAUUGUGAAUCAGUUCUAGAUACUACUGAAGCACGUCAAUUUACACAACGAAGCUUGGAUCGAUCUGAGACUUGUGGUAAUAGUAGCACCAUGUCACCUCCUCACAUCGUUGAGGAUUUUGCUGCCAGGAAAGAUGCAAAUAUGCAGGCAAGAGGUCUGGGUAUUAGUGAAGAUAAUGGCAUGCCUUGUGCCAAGUUUCUGCAGACGACUGGUGAUCACUGUUAUCAUGAACUAACAAAAAGACAUCAACCUUGCAAUGAUAAAAAAGGUGGAACACUGGAGAAAAAUUAUGCUCGAGCAGACCCAAGUUACCUGCAAACUCUUGGUCAAACGCAUUCUGCAUGGAUUUUUGGUGCAAUAGCUGAGCUUGUUGAUAAUUCUAGGGAUGCAAACGCAAGCAGACUGGAUAUUUCUAUUGAGAUCAUAUAUUCAAAAAGGGCUGGCAAAGAUAUUCCUAUGUUGUCAUUUAUAGAUGAUGGCUGUGGAAUGACCCAUCAGGAGGUUGUGAGAAUGACAUGCUUUGGGCACAAACAACCAGAUGCAAAUAAUGUGGAUCGUAUAGGGAGAUUCGGUGUUGGAUUUAAGACUGGGGCAAUGAGGCUUGGGAGGGAUGCUCUUGUUCUUACUCAGACUGCUGAAUCUAGGUCUAUAGCCUUCCUCUCACAAUCGCUAAAUGAAGGAAAAGAUAAUCUAGAGAUUCCCAUUGUAAGCUACCGCAGAAAAGGACAGUUUAUGGAAUUGGAUACAAGUGUCCAGUCUCAAGAUUUAGCGAAGUACAACUUGAAAGCUGUUAAGGAAUUUUCACCAUUUGAUAAGUAUUUGAUAGGUGAAAAAGCAGGUUUGUUUGAUAAAAGACACACAGGAACUCAAAUAUACAUAUGGAACCUGGAUGAGUGGGGCUCAGGUUAUUGUCUGGAUUGGACUACUGGACUGACUGGUGGGAGCUCCUUUCACCAAGGUGAUAUAUUUAUCCGUUCUAAAAGGGUCAGAUCUCGUCCUGGCCAGAUGAGUCAAAAGGUGCCCCUAGAUUACUCACUUAGAUGUUAUCUAGAGGUCAUCUUUUUAGUUCCACGAAUGAAGAUAUAUGUUCAAGGUUCACCGGUUAAAUGUCGACCAUUGGGCAAAUCUUUGAAUAAGACUUGUGAAGUAACUGGUAAUAUAAUUGGCAAAGGUGUUAAUUUAACUCUUGGUCGCUGUCAGUUAGAGUGGGAGCAGGGAAAUUGUGGAAUGUUUUUGUAUUGGCAUGGCCGCUUAAUCGAGGCUUAUAAAAGAGUUGGUGGCAUGAUACACAAUGGAGAUGUGGGACGAGGCAUGAUUGGCGUCAUAGAUGUUACCGAUCUAAUGGACAAUGGGAAUGGUCGUGUGUGGGUGCAUAGCAACAAGCAAGGUUUUCAGGACUGUGAAGCUUAUGCUCAACUAGAGGAGUGGCUGGGGAAAAAGGCAGAUGAAUAUUGGGAUAAAAAUCAUGAUCCUGUGCAGCUGUUCCAGAAGAAGGGUGGUUUGUUGUACCAGCCUGACCAUGAAUGGGUCCAAUGCGACAAGUGUAGAAAGUGGAGGACGUUGAGUCCUGGAUUUGACAGCAAGCGUUUACCUAAAGAAUGGUACUCAUGUUUUGCUAUAUGGAACCUUUUGAGGGAUCAUGCGAAACUCCCGAGCAAAAGGUUGAAAGUGGGGUGAUUACACUUACUGCAAAACGAACCGGAUAUGAUAGAAGAGAUGUUAAAGAUGAUGCAACAAUCGCGUCUGGAGAAACAGAGAAGUAUGAUGCUAUACGAGGUUUAAAGAGGUUGAAGAAGGGACUUCCUAGGGCUUGUAAGAAGACUAUAUAAUGUAGAGUAGUAGAGGUGCUCAGUCUACAAUGCCAAACGUAGUUCACUCAUGGACAGGUGCACCGAUGUAAAGUGUUAGAAAUUUUGCAGAUUUUAAGCUUUUUGGUCUUACAGCUGAUUGGAGCAUUUUUUGUAUAUGAAAAUAGUGCAUAUUAUAACCAGUUAUGCAAGUAUAAAGAAGAAUAGAUUUUUGUUGUAUGAA
This is an RNA transcript of Jatropha curcas, 2755 nucleotides long. RefSeq lists it as uncharacterized. NCBI's taxonomy places the organism in Eukaryota, Viridiplantae, Streptophyta, Magnoliopsida, Malpighiales, Euphorbiaceae. The record is from RefSeq and is a predicted model, not a curated record.